Long non-coding RNA from Brienomyrus brachyistius, 412 nucleotides. RefSeq lists it as uncharacterized. Lineage: Eukaryota; Metazoa; Chordata; Actinopteri; Osteoglossiformes; Mormyridae. The record is from RefSeq and is a predicted model, not a curated record. The transcript is spliced from 4 exons.
CAGGGGCGGGUUUAUGACCAAUGACCGGACUAUAAAGGCUGGUGCGGCGCGUGUCUCCAUCUCAGCAGAGGAACAACAUAACCUCAAUCCUCCAAGGAAGAUCGGUAACGCAAGAGGUCUGCCUUCUCCUGCACGCAGUCACUGAGAGAACAGCAUGGUCAUGUCUGAGGUUUGGACUGUGGCUCUCCUGACUCUCUUCCUCAUUUUCAAAGAAGGGGAAAGUAACUUAAACAACCAAAACCUGCAUAACAUCAUAAAUAAAAUGAAGCAAAAUUUGAAACCUAAGAUGUUACAGGAUGAGAUAAGCAAGAGACACAACCCCAAAAUGGCAAAGGGUGUCCAAUACAGCGUGGGUCUCCAGCUCACAAGAGACAACUGUGAUUCAGGAGACAUGACAUCUGUCACAGCUGAC